UUAGCCUAGAGGCCUAGGACACCGCCCACGUCGGCGGUAACAGGGGUUCGAAUCCCCUAGGGGAUGCCA
Molecule: transfer RNA, 69 nt
Filed under: Shewanella chilikensis
Lineage: Bacteria; Pseudomonadati; Pseudomonadota; Gammaproteobacteria; Alteromonadales; Shewanellaceae
Description: tRNA-Val
Source: RNAcentral